RNAcentral lists this ribosomal RNA (327 nucleotides) under Triticum aestivum (bread wheat). Its description in RNAcentral is "partial small subunit ribosomal RNA". The record is from RNAcentral. Lineage: Eukaryota; Viridiplantae; Streptophyta; Magnoliopsida; Poales; Poaceae.
AUGAGGGAUUUUCUGGAUUUACAAAUCAGUCCCUGUAGUUUUACAGGAACAUCCUUCAAUCAGAAAACAAAAAGCAAUCAACUCCCUUCAUGGAUUUGGGCUGACACAGCAGCCGAGCAGAGCAGCAGAACUAUUUGCCGCAGCACCUCCACCCAAUCCUCCCGACCACCUCUUCCCAAUCCACCUGACCACCUCCCGCCGCUGGCCACCCUCCCCCCAGCCUCACCCGCCGCCGCCACCCCCUCCCCCGGCCUGACGCGCGUCCUUGCGCCGUCGUCCACCCUCCCCCAGCGUCACCUGCCGCCGCCACGCCCUCCCCCGGCCUGA